UAGAGUUUGAUCCUGGCUCAGGAUGAACGCUGACAGAAUGCUUAACACAUGCAAGUCGACUCGAGUCUUCGGACUUGGGUGGCGCACGGGUGAGUAACGCGUAAAGAACUUGCCUCUUAGACCGGGACAACAUCUGGAAACGGAUGCUAAUACCGGAUAUUAUGGUUUUUUCGCAUGGAGGAAUCAUGAAAGCUAGAUGCGCUAAGAGAGAGCUUUGCGUCCCAUUAGCUGGUUGGUGAGGUAACGGCCCACCAAGGCAAUGAUGGGUAGCCGGCCUGAGAGGGUGAACGGCCACAAGGGGACUGAGACACGGCCCUUACUCCUACGGGAGGCAGCAGUGGGGAAUAUUGGACAAUGGACCACAAGUCUGAUCCAGCAAUUCUGUGUGCACGAUGACGUUUUUCGGAAUGUAAAGUGCUUUCAGUCGGGAAGAAGUCAGUGACGGUACCGACAGAAGAAGCGACGGCUAAAUACGUGCCAGCAGCCGCGGUAAUACGUAUGUCGCAAGCGUUAUCCGGAUUUAUUGGGCGUAAAGCGCGUCUAGGCGGCAAGGAAAGUCUGAUGUGAAAAUGCGGAGCUCAACUCCGUAUGGCGUUGGAAACUGCCUUACUAGAGUACUGGAGAGGUAGGCGGAACUACAAGUGUAGAGGUGAAAUUCGUAGAUAUUUGUAGGAAUGCCGAUGGGGAAGCCAGCCUACUGGACAGAUACUGACGCUAAAGCGCGAAAGCGUGGGUAGCAAACAGGAUUAGAUACCCUGGUAGUCCACGCUGUAAACGAUGAUUACUAGGUGUUGGGGGUCAAACCUCAGCGCCCAAGCUAACGCGAUAAGUAAUCCGCCUGGGGAGUACGUACGCAAGUAUGAAACUCAAAGGAAUUGACGG
RNAcentral lists this ribosomal RNA (882 nucleotides) under uncultured bacterium. RNAcentral describes it as "bacterial SSU rRNA". It matches the Rfam family "Bacterial small subunit ribosomal RNA", at positions 1 to 916 of the family's 1533-position model. The record is from RNAcentral.